GGUAGUAGUUUUCGGACUGCUAUCGAGUGGCGGACGGGUGAGUAACACGUGGAUGACCUGCCCAGAGAUGGGGGAUACCGCGCAGAAAUGCGCGCUAAGACCGCAUGAGCUGGUUUGCGGCGACGCGAAUCAGGAAAGCUUUUUGGAGCGUCUUUGGAGGGGUCCGCGGCCGAUUAGCUAGUUGGUGGGGUAAGAGCCUACCAAGGCGUCGAUCGGUAGCUGGUCUGAGAGGAUGAUCAGCCACACUGGGAUUGAGAACGGCCCAGACUCCUACGGGGGGCAGCAGUGAGGAAUCUUCGGCAAUGGGCGCAAGCCUGACCGAGCAACGCCGCGUGGAGGAUGACGGCCUUCGGGUUGUAAACUCCUUUUCUUUGGAACGAGAACGGACGGUACCAGAGGAAGAAGUCUCGGCUAACUACGUGCCAGC
Molecule: ribosomal RNA, 427 nt
Filed under: uncultured bacterium
Lineage: Bacteria
Description: bacterial SSU rRNA
Rfam family: Bacterial small subunit ribosomal RNA
Source: RNAcentral